RNAcentral lists this long non-coding RNA (1301 nucleotides) under Struthio camelus australis. Its description in RNAcentral is "lncRNA (ENSSCUG00000008424.1)". The record is from RNAcentral. Lineage: Eukaryota; Metazoa; Chordata; Aves; Struthioniformes; Struthionidae.
GCACCUUGAUUUGCCACCGGGCCGAUUGACUGCAGCUUGAUUGUUCGCAUGUCCAGGUUCCCCUUGCGCGCUCUUUGCGCUGAGGCCUGCGUCUGGUGUGCGUUAAAACAAACGCGCAAAUGCAGGACUAUGGACGUUGCUGUGGUAGAAAGACAGUGGAGUUGGAAAAUCUGAUAUAAAAAGGGUCUAGUAUUUUAUGGGAACACGUAAUUUACUUCCUUCACAUGGGUCUAGCGUUAUCAUUGGUACUUACCUGAAACUCUCUUUCUACCUGUAUGUGCGGUGUGUUUUUUUUGUGCUUUAUACCGAUUAAUCGAGCAUUUACCAUAUGGUUGUUGUGCUGAAUGAAUGAAGAGCCCAGUCCCUGCCCCAGCAGCCAACAUUCAAGUUUAGAUGUUGAUAGUGAAGUUGAGAUAUAGAAUAAACUUACAGUAUAAACGUGUAGUUGAGGAUAUAAAUUUUCAAAGCUUUUUCAGGAAGAGCGUAUAUUUGAAAGACAAUGAAGUGCAAAAUGAUGAAGACUUUUUAUAACUAAGGAAUUGUAUGUAACAGGAGGUUGGAGAUUUAAGAUGUUAUUUAUAAUUCUAACUAGUCCUUGGCAAGUCUAGUGUUUAGAGGUACUAUAGCAUUUAUUUGCAGAGACUGAGCUCUGUUGUAUUUGGAAAGAUCUGUAAAUGUUUUGUGGCGUAUAAUUUGUAAUAUUGUAAAUAUUUGAAAGGGUUUUUUUAAUCAUCAAAACAUUUUGAUGGCAUUAUAGGCUUUUGUUGAUUUAUUUUAAAGGACUUUAUUGAUUAUGUUUUUCUUGUUUAAUGCUGAUACAGAAAACCUUUGGCUGAUGUUUCCUGAAGAGUGAGCUCCUAGCAGUUUUGUAUAAAGGUUUAGUUAUAUAUGAGCUAAGUUACAGAAGCAGUUUGUCAGGUUCUGUUGCGAGUGCAAGCUAUUGGGAUAUUCUGUUUUUGCUCUCGUUGCUAGGAUAAUAGAAUGUGAAAAUCUCAGAUUGAGAAGUGCAAUUUCAUCUGAAGGUGGAAAGUCUUUAUAGACACAAGAAAUUGCUUUCUUGAUGCUUACGGGUUGAAUAUACUUUGUGUAGUGCUGUUCCACCUACGGCAUGAGAUGCUCAUAUAAGAAGCACUUGGGAAGAGUCCUUUGAGUUUGCACAACUGCAUUAAGGAGAGAUUUUUCAGUAAACAAGAUCCGGUCCUUCGUUCUUGAUACCAUGUUUUCUAUAUCAGUGCCUAAUGGAAGAGUGGUGGGUGUACCAAUAGCAUAUUUGAGAUAGGCAGAGGUGUAUUUAAGGUGAU